RNAcentral lists this ribosomal RNA (354 nucleotides) under Triticum aestivum (bread wheat). RNAcentral describes it as "partial small subunit ribosomal RNA". The record is from RNAcentral. Lineage: Eukaryota; Viridiplantae; Streptophyta; Magnoliopsida; Poales; Poaceae.
AUGUGUGUCCCAAACGACCAAGGAGGCUUGGGCUUCAGAGAUAUACAUUGUAAGCUAGCUUUGUUAGCCAAGCAAGCGUGCCGUCUGCUUGAUAGUCCUGAAUCUUUAUGUGCUACUAUCUUGAGAGCUAAACAUUUCGUGGAGGGUGAUUUAAUGAAUGCAAGUCUAAAGAAGGGUUCCUCUUUUACUUGGCAAAGAAUUAUGGCGGGUGUUAACUCUCUAAUAAAUGGUUAUAUCUGGAGAGUUGGAAAUGAACAAAAUAUUGAUAUUUGGAGAGAUGCAUGGAUCCUGAAUUGUGCGGAUAGGAAAAUCAUUACUCCUAGAAGUGGGAAUCUUCUGUCAAAAGGUUUUUGA